UUUGUCCGUUUUACCCCAAACGGACGGAGCCGGACAGGAUAGGGUCGCGCGGUGGAGUUGGCCUAACAGUUUGCUUUGGACACUAGCACAGAACAUGGAUCAAAGGCUUUAUGCAGUCCACACCAGGAGAUGCUAAAUAAAUCAGCUAAAACAUGGCAAGGAGACCUGGUUCGAUAAUACGGGCAGCAAAUGAAACAUGUGCAUCAUAAAAUAGAAAUAGUUGCCACAAAUAUUGCAAAGCCGACUACAUAAACCAUCACUGCGAUGAAGAUUGUAACUAGAGGAAGUUUGGCUCAAACGGCCUGCUCUUCUUAGUGCCACACGCAUUGCGACGAUGUCCAACCACCCCACAGUUCGUGCAUUUCGGCAAUUUCCUUGGAGCCUUCGGCAAAUCACCUCUUUGGGGGCGGGUUGUACACCUGUGGCCCUCCGAUAUGCACCAGCUUUGUACAUAGGUUCGCCAAAUUGAUCAAAAUCACCCAGGUGUAAACCUUACUUGCAUAUGCCUCUCAAUUGGCAGGUAGCUCUCAAAGUCUCAAUGAAACCCUACUUUGCAAAAAAAAUGUUCAACACCAAAUCAGAAUGAAACCCCACUCACGCUCGAUAGCUAUUUUUUCAAUCCUUUUACCCUAGCAGAUAAAUUCCAGUUACGUUAAGAAUUCAGGGCAAAAAAAAUAUUCUAUAAGAGUAACACAAAAACAGGAAAUUUUAGUCAGAUUCGUAAUUCAAGCCCAAAUUAAUAGCACAACCAUCAAGUCUUUGUUAAUUACUUAAGAGCUGAUUUGUUGUUAAAUGUUUCGAUCUGCUUCAGUAUCGCAGUUAAAGAACAUAAUGCACCACUGCCAACAAAUUUCAGUAAACUAACCGAUGGGUCGAUAAAGAUAAAAACAACUAAAUCUAUACGUAAUGUAGACUAACAGAUACGCAUGACCACGGGUGUAUCACUGAUUGCAGAAAAUAAUGGUUUUGGAUUCAUGGCACAGCAUUUGGGUUUGAUUAUAAUUUAUAAAUAAACCAAAAGAAAUUGCCCGAACCCUAAAACCUGAUGUGUGUUCAUCCAGUGCACAUGAGUAUGGUAACCAGCAGAACAAAGAUAAACAUCAUGAACCCUAAAUCAACUGAAAUUAUCCUGUCCCGGAUUCUUUCUGAAAUCUGAUUUGAGCGGUUGAUGCAUGUGUUUGGUCUGAACUCUAAAUUAUCCUAAAUUCAGUGAGACAUAGUUAUAGUCUGAACCCUAAAUUAUUUUAAAUUUAGUGACACAUAGUUCAUCAGGAUUUCACAAUCCAGGACCAAAAAAUCCUAUACUAUACCACCAAAAGUCUGGUGCACACUAAAACAAAUUUAGUGGUCAAUCCUAUACUACACCAUUUCAAAAUCCAUAUGAAACAGCAACAGUUGUCAAUAGGCCAGCUUGUAAACGGUUCAUCUUUACACUAUCUCAAUUUGAACGGUUCAUUAAGAAUAAUCACUAAUGAAGGUUUAAUAGCACAUGCAGUGCAAAAAGUUGAAACUGUAUGAAUUAGCACCCCAAAGAACACAUGUUGGAAAAAAUUAAGCCGAUCUGGCAAAUACGCAUGGGCAUGAAUAACAUUUUCCCCUCAUGAUUAUCCUCCACAUACAUCAUCUAAAAAACAUCACAGGAAAUUCGGAUCUGCAAAAGAAAAUUGCAUACGUACAGACUAUCAGAGAGCACUCUAUUCUGGGUUCAUCAACACAAAUGAUAUACAUCUCGAUCCAUCCAUGCAGCCAAAUCAGCCAUGCCAAAGCAAUAGAAGGAACAAGACUAGAAUCGCCAAAAACGUGCAACUCUAGAACAGAUGAACACCAGGUAGGAGAAAAAGCAUAAGUACAGAACGUGUGAUCCAGCCUCACCGAAACAAUGGAGAAAAUGAUUUUUCCCAGCCAGAUCCGUGGACGAGGAGGCCCUUACCCUGAGCAGAUCCGGUGUUCCGCAAACUCGAGGUGAUUCGGCUGCCGGAGUGGAAGAUGAAGCUGGAUCCGGGUGGUUUGGCCGCCAGCGUGGAAGAGGACGAGCGCUCCGGCCGUCGCUUCGGUCGGGGAGCGCGUUUGCCGACGAUAACCACCGCACAGACGAGAAGAGAGGGAGGGGGGAGGGCUAGGCGACUGGAUAGGAAUGAGGGCGAGGGAAAGAGAGCGCGUCACCGGAACAGGAGCUCUGGUCUGGUCCACACGGUAAGGCAGGAGGAUGGGUUGGCAUGGAAUUCCUUCACCUGUGCCGUUUCGAACCAGCACCCAUGGGCCAGUCUUUCUGGGCGCACGCGAACAGGCA
RNAcentral lists this long non-coding RNA (2290 nucleotides) under Triticum aestivum (bread wheat). RNAcentral's name for it is "long non-coding RNA (TAES_LNC003618)". Lineage: Eukaryota; Viridiplantae; Streptophyta; Magnoliopsida; Poales; Poaceae. The record is from RNAcentral.